GCCGGGAUCGCAUAAUCUGGUAUUGCACCGGUCUCGAAAACCGGGCCUUCGGGCAUCUGGGUUCAAAUCCCAGUCCCGGCG
This 81-nucleotide transfer RNA is filed under the name Candidatus Woesearchaeota archaeon. RNAcentral describes it as "tRNA-Ser". It matches the Rfam family "tRNA". From Rfam's summary of the family: Transfer RNA (tRNA) molecules are approximately 80 nucleotides in length. Their secondary structure includes four short double-helical elements and three loops (D, anti-codon, and T loops). Lineage: Archaea; Nanobdellati; Candidatus Woesearchaeota. The record is from RNAcentral.